UACAGAGGUCUCGAGCGUUGUUCGGAUUCAUUGGGCGUAAAGGGUGCGUAGGUGGCGCUGUAAGUCGGGUGUGAAAUCCUGAGGCUUAACCUCGGAACUGCAUUCGAUACUGCGGCGCUUGAGGACUGGAGAGGAGACUGGAAUUCAUGGUGUAGCAGUGAAAUGCGUAGAGAUCAUGAGGAAGACCAGUGGCGAAGGCGGGUCUCUGGGCAGUUCCUGACACUGAGGCACGAAGGCCAGGGGAGCAAACGGG
This 253-nucleotide ribosomal RNA is filed under the name uncultured bacterium. RNAcentral's name for it is "partial 16S ribosomal RNA". It matches the Rfam family "Bacterial small subunit ribosomal RNA", at positions 524 to 776 of the family's 1533-position model. The record is from RNAcentral.